RNAcentral lists this ribosomal RNA (253 nucleotides) under uncultured bacterium. Its description in RNAcentral is "partial 16S ribosomal RNA". It matches the Rfam family "Bacterial small subunit ribosomal RNA", at positions 524 to 776 of the family's 1533-position model. The record is from RNAcentral.
UACGUAGGGGGCAAGCGUUGUCCGGAAUCAUUGGGCGUAAAGCGCGUGUAGGCGGCCCGGUAAGUCCGCUGUGAAAGUCCAGGGCUCAACCCUGGGAUGCCGGUGGAUACUGUCGGGCUCGAGUCCGGAAGAGGCGAGUGGAAUUCCUGGUGUAGCGGUGAAAUGCGCAGAUAUCAGGAGGAACACCAAUGGCGAAGGCAGCUCGCUGGGACGUGACUGACGUUGAGACGCGAAAGCGUGGGGAGCAAACAGG